AACGCGAAGAACCUUACCCAGGCUCGAAAUGCAGGUGGCGAUACCAGAGAUGGUAUUUUCCGUAAGGACGCCUGUAUAGGUGCUGCAUGGCUGUCGUCAGCUCGUGCCGUGAGGUGUUGGGUUAAGUCCCGCAACGAGCGCAACCCUUAUCAUUAGUUGCCAACACGCAAGGUGGGGACUCUAAUGAGACUGCCUAGGUUAACUAGGAGGAAGGUGAGGAUGACGUCAAGUCCGCAUGGCCUUUAUGUCUGGGGCUACACACGUGCUACAAUGGUCGGUACAGAAGGCAGCAAGACCGUAAGGUGGAGCAAAUCCGAAAAACCGAUCUCAGUUCAGAUUGUAGUCUGCAACUCGACUACAUGAAGCUGGAAUUGCUAGUAAUGACGUGUCAGCAACAACGUCGUGAAUACGUUCCCGGGCCUUGUA
This 426-nucleotide ribosomal RNA is filed under the name uncultured Chlamydiae bacterium. RNAcentral describes it as "bacterial SSU rRNA". It matches the Rfam family "Bacterial small subunit ribosomal RNA", at positions 958 to 1385 of the family's 1533-position model. Lineage: Bacteria; Pseudomonadati; Chlamydiota; Chlamydiia. The record is from RNAcentral.